Molecule: ribosomal RNA, 814 nt
Filed under: Salmonella enterica
Lineage: Bacteria; Pseudomonadati; Pseudomonadota; Gammaproteobacteria; Enterobacterales; Enterobacteriaceae
Also listed under: 1 other name
Description: partial 23S ribosomal RNA
Rfam family: Bacterial large subunit ribosomal RNA
Source: RNAcentral
CCCGUACACAAAAGCGCAUGUGCUGUGAGCUCGAUGAGUAGGGCGGGACACGUGAUAUCCUGUCUGAAUAUGGGGGGACCAUCCUCCAAGGCUAAAUACUCCUGACUGACCGAUAGUGAACCAGUACCGUGAGGGAAAGGCGAAAAGAACCCCGGCGAGGGGAGUGAAAAAGAACCUGAAACCGUGUACGUACAAGCAGUGGGAGCACCCUUCGGGGUGUGACUGCGUACCUUUUGUAUAAUGGGUCAGCGACUUAUAUUCUGUAGCAAGGUUAACCGAAUAGGGGAGCCGGAGGGAAACCGAGUCUUAACCGGGCGUUAAGUUGCAGGGUAUAGACCCGAAACCCGGUGAUCUAGCCAUGGGCAGGUUGAAGGUUGGGUAACACUAACUGGAGGACCGAACCGACUAAUGUUGAAAAAUUAGCGGAUGACCUGUGGCUGGGGGUGAAAGGCCAAUCAAACCGGGAGAUAGCUGGUUCUCCCCGAAAGCUAUUUAGGUAGCGCCUCGUGAAUUCAUCUCCGGGGGUAGAGCACUGUUUCGGCUAGGGGGCCAUCCCGGCUUACCAACCCGAUGCAAACUGCGAAUACCGGAGAAUGUUAUCACGGGAGACACACGGCGGGUGCUAACGUCCGUCGUGAAGAGGGAAACAACCCAGACCGCCAGCUAAGGUCCCAAAGUCAUGGUUAAGUGGGAAACGAUGUGGGAAGGCCCAGACAGCCAGGAUGUUGGCUUAGAAGCAGCCAUCAUUUAAAGAAAGCGUAAUAGCUCACUGGUCGAGUCGGCCUGCGCGGAAGAUGUAACGGGGCUAAACCAU